GGAAUUCGUGGUGUAGCGGUGAAAUGCUUAGAUAUCACGAAGAACUCCGAUUGCGAAGGCAGCUUGCUGGACUGUAACUGACGCUGAUGCUCGAAAGUGUGGGUAUCAAACAGGAUUAGAUACCCUGGUAGUCCACACAGUAAACGAUGAAUACUCGCUGUUUGCGAUAUACAGUAAGCGGCCAAGCGAAAGCGUUAAGUAUUCCACCUGGGGAGUACGCCGGCAACGGUGAAACUCAAAGGAAUUGACGGGGGCCCGCACAAGCGGAGGAACAUGUGGUUUAAUUCGAUGAUACGCGAGGAACCUUACCCGGGCUUGAAUUGCAACUGAAUGAUGUGGAGACAUGUCAGCCGCAAGGCAGUUGUGAAGGUGCUGCAUGGUUGUCGUCAGCUCGUGCCGUGAGGUGUCGGCUUAAGUGCCAUAACGAGCGCAACCCUUAUCGAUAGUUACCAUCAGGUGAUGCUGGGGACUCUGUCGAGACUGCCGUCGUAAGAUGUGAGGAAGGUGGGGAUGACGUCAAAUCAGCACGGCCCUUACGUCCGGGGCUACACACGUGUUACAAUGGGGGGUACAGAAGGCAGCUACACGGCGACGUGAUGCUAAUCCCUAAAGCCUCUCUCAGUUCGGAUUGGAGUCUGCAACCCGACUCCAUGAAGCUGGAUUCGCUAGUAAUCGCGCAUCAGCCACGGCGCGGUGAAUACGUUCCCGGGCCUUGUACACACCGCCCGUCAAGCCAUGAAAGCCGGGGGUACCUGAAGUGCGUAACCGCAAGGAGCGCCCUAGGGUAAAACUGGUGAUUGGGGCUAAGUCGUAACAAGGUAGCCGUACCGGAAGGUGCGGCUG
This 843-nucleotide ribosomal RNA is filed under the name gut metagenome. Its description in RNAcentral is "bacterial SSU rRNA". It matches the Rfam family "Bacterial small subunit ribosomal RNA", at positions 663 to 1520 of the family's 1533-position model. The record is from RNAcentral.